This is a non-coding RNA of Pelobates cultripes (western spadefoot toad), 235 nucleotides long. Lineage: Eukaryota; Metazoa; Chordata; Amphibia; Anura; Pelobatidae. The record is from the annotation of a GenBank genome assembly.
CUUCCUACUCCUUUCUGCCCCUUCCUGCCCCUUGCUGACCGUUCCUACACCCGGUUGACCCCUCCUGCCCCUUGCAAACACUUCCUACUCCUUGCUGACCCCUCCUGCCCCUUGAAGACCCUUCCUACUCCUGGUUGACCUUUCCUGCUCCUUGCUGCCCCUUCCUACUCCUUGCUGAAACCUCCUGCCCCUUCCUACUCCUUGAUGACCCCUCCUGCCCCUUGCAGACCCUUCC